AUGUGGCUUUGUGGGGAAAGCGGAAAGCAGGAGCUUACUGCUGAAGUAACCGUGCAAUCAGAGCCAUUGGAUCACAGCCACUGGGAGAGCUCUCGAUCCUUGCCCCUGUCAGAUUGCUAAGUGAUUGACUCAUUGUUACGGAUACUGUUUGAUAACAAACCUGCUGGACGCAACCUUCGUGAGAAUAAUAAAAUACCAGUGGCUGACACUCCAUCAGCAAAAAGGAGAAAGAAACAGAAAACACAUAAAAAUGUAAUAACUUUCCAAUGGCCAUCCCCAGAAAAAAAAAGGCUAAAAAGUCCGGGGAAUGGGUAUUUAUUUAUUAUUAAUAUUUUUUUUAACAAAAAAAAAAGAAAAGAAAG
RNAcentral lists this small RNA (362 nucleotides) under Histoplasma capsulatum var. duboisii H88. RNAcentral describes it as "Histoplasma capsulatum H88 hypothetical RNA". Lineage: Eukaryota; Fungi; Ascomycota; Eurotiomycetes; Onygenales; Ajellomycetaceae. The record is from RNAcentral.